GAUAAUAUUGGGCAAACCCGUACGAAAGACGGGGGCGCAAAGCCGUGGGUCUACGAAUUAGUGACCAGUGGCCGGUGACUAUGUGGCUACUGACCACUGAUUUAUGACAGCCUGGUUGCCGCA
This 123-nucleotide non-coding RNA is filed under the name Thermincola carboxydiphila JR. RNAcentral's name for it is "Thermincola potens JR c-di-GMP-I riboswitch aptamer". It matches the Rfam family "c-di-GMP-I riboswitch aptamer". Rfam says of the family: GEMM was predicted in a large-scale screen for bacterial structured RNA regulatory elements. Genes associated with GEMM are involved in a diverse array of functions, including chemotaxis regulation, signal transduction, secretion and chitin. Lineage: Bacteria; Bacillati; Bacillota; Clostridia; Eubacteriales; Thermincolaceae. RNAcentral also lists the same sequence under 1 other name. The record is from Rfam by way of RNAcentral.